RNAcentral lists this ribosomal RNA (423 nucleotides) under uncultured Glomeromycotina. RNAcentral's name for it is "SSU rRNA". It matches the Rfam family "Eukaryotic small subunit ribosomal RNA", at positions 671 to 1092 of the family's 1831-position model. The record is from RNAcentral. Lineage: Eukaryota; Fungi; Glomeromycota.
UGGUAUGUACUGGUCUCACUGAUUCCUCCUUCCUGAUGAGCCGUAAUGCCAUUAAUUUGGUGUUGCGGGGAAUUUGGACUGUUACUUUGAAAAAAUUAGAGUGUUUAAAGCAAGCUAACGCUUGAAUACAUUAGCAUGGAAUAAUGAAAUAGGACGUUCGAUCCUAUUUUGUUGGUUUCUAGGAUUGACGUAAUGAUUAAUAGGGAUAGUUGGGGGCAUUAGUAUUCAAUUGUCAGAGGUGAAAUUCUUGGAUUUAUUGAAGACUAACUACUGCGAAAGCAUUUGCCAAGGAUGUUUUCAUUAAUCAAGAACGAAAGUUAGGGGAUCGAAGACGAUCAGAUACCGUCGUAGUCUUAACCAUAAACUAUGCCGACUAGGGAUCGGAUGAUGUUAAUUUUUUAAUGACUCAUUCGGUGCCUUACG